GUGCUUGUUUGGCAGCACAUAUACUGAAAAUGGAAUGCUACAGAGAUUAGCAGGACCGUAUGCAAGGAUGGAACGCAAAUUUUGAAGUGUUCCACACUUUA
This 101-nucleotide small nuclear RNA is filed under the name Nannospalax galili (Upper Galilee mountains blind mole rat). The record is from RNAcentral. Lineage: Eukaryota; Metazoa; Chordata; Mammalia; Rodentia; Spalacidae.